This 1931-nucleotide long non-coding RNA is filed under the name Helianthus annuus (common sunflower). The record is from RNAcentral. Lineage: Eukaryota; Viridiplantae; Streptophyta; Magnoliopsida; Asterales; Asteraceae.
UAAUAAAGCCUUGUCCCGUUUUAAGUGUUGUAGCCCCUGAUCACCGAUACCCUGUCCGACUGACGUAGGGCCCCGUAACGUAUGUCAAGGCUCUGCCUAAAUUCGUUGGGGUUCUGUCUCGUGACGUAGGGAUAAAGUGGAAUUGGGUUACUAUACUUGAUGUGGGUGCACUAUAUAUUUUAUUAAAUAACCCAGAAGUGAUACCCAAAAUAUAACAACCCUCUCGAAUAUUUUUCUGAUACCCUACACUUCCUAAAAUACACCCCGUAUGUGAAAACCGAGCCCGAAAUACAAUAUACUAUUAAAAAUAAUUAAAAACAAGAAAAUAUAAGUUUAGGCGGGCCGCGUAAAGAUCCUCGAUUAGUUAACGCGGGCCGCGAGAGAUCGAAGUUGUGGCGCAGCCCGGUGAUGACACGUGUCAUCAUCGUGGCGGGUCUAGGGGGUGAGCCGGACAAGCUAGUCCGUUGACCAGGAUUGACGCGGGCCGCGUAACCCCUGUCCUUUCUUUACGCGGGCCGCGUGGGAACCAGUUUCAGCAACUAUAAAUAGAGGCCAUCGGAUUUCAUUUGGAAUUCGCUCACGAACGUUUUCUUCUCUCAAAUCUGAAUAUUAGGCAUAAUACUCGGGUAUUAUACCCCCUAAUUAGCGAAGCUCUGCCUCGUUAUAAGUAUCAUAACCCCUGGAUACGUAUUAGAUACUCUGCCCGAUUGAUCUAGGGUUCCGUAACGGCUGUCGUGGUUCUGCCCGACGUAGUCGUUGGAAUGCCGUCUCGGGGAGGGUAUUACUAAUGUUAAAAUGGGUUAUUAUACUAACGCGUGUGCAUUGUUUAUUUAAUUAGACUAUAACCAGGAAAUCACAAAGGAAAGCCCUAUGAUAGCAUUGUAACUUAGUGUGAAGCCAAUAUAAGCCAGCUGGAGAGCACUGAAGGCUUGGAAAAGUGGCUAUAAAGUUACCUAAGAUAAAAUAGAUGUUUUUAUUAAAUAAAAAGAGGAUUUAUUCCUAUGAAAAUGUGUGUACUGCAAAACUUGGGUUUUAUCCCAUGUGUUUAAUAUUAUGAAAAUAUGGUGGUUUUACUCUGAUAAAAUAUUUCCUAACUACGGUCCUGAUGAAAAAUUCCGCUGCCAAAUUAGACAAUACUCGAUACCACCGAAACUGGAUCACGGCCGCCCGUUCCCGCAUUUGUACCAGGAGAGAACAGGGGUUGUGACAGAUGUGCAUAUGAUACUUGUACAUUAUGCUUUAUUAAUGUUAUGCACGCCAUGUGUUUGAUGAAAUGCUUGAGUAUUGUCUAAUGUGUGAUCAUCGUGAUUUCAUAUGCAUAUGAUGAAAAUGAUUUGGAUUGGUGAAAUGAUGAGUUAGUAACUCACUAUGUAGAUGUAAAUAUGAGAAUGCAAGCGUGGAUGGAAUGGAUUAUGUAUGUAUAUGAGUAUGUGUAUAUAAGUAAGUGAUCAUGUAGUUGCAGAUGUCAUACAAUACGAGUGUGUAAUGCGUAUAAUGUAAUAUUAUGGUCUACCCUAUUAAGAUGGAUACAUGUUCAUAAGUUGAAAGUGUGUAAAUAGGACAUUUGACUUCCUGAAAGUCAACAAUGAACGUAUAGCAUGUUAGCCUUUCGGACAUGAUUGUAAUAGUAGAGAAGUCAUGUGUAUCGUAGUAGAUGAUCUACGUGUCGUGUAUGAUGAUAAUUGAGUUGCGUGAAUAUAGACCAAGGUGACUUUUAGUCUAUGCCUUAUGUAUGUGGUAAUUGAUUAAUAAAAAGUCAAGUAAUGUAUGAAUGGAAAGAAACAAAUGUUAGUAUGAAUGAGCACGUAUGCUAACCAUGAUGUGAUUGUGAUCACUUGAAAGGAUAGGAAUCACAUUAGCAUGGAUUCAAGCAUGAAAGGCUAACGGGUCAAGAGGAGACAAGGAAGUGGAUACGGACACGGAUGCACAAG